AUUGAACGCUGGCGGCAGGCCUAACACAUGCAAGUCGAACGGAAGAACGGAGCUUGCUCCUGGAUUCAGCGGCGGACGGGUGAGUAAUGCAUAGGAACCUGCCUGGUAGUGGGGGAUAACGUCCGGAAAGGGGCGCUAAUACCGCAUACGACCUGAGGGAGAAAGUGGGGGAUCUUCGGACCUCACGCUAUCGGAUGAGCCGAGGUCGGAUUAGCUAGUUGGUGGGGUAAAGGCCUACCAAGGCGACGAUCCGUAACUGGUCUGAGAGGACGACCAGCCACACUGGAACUGAGACACGGCCCAGACUCCUACGGGAGGCAGCAGUGGGGAAUAUUGGACAAUGGGCGAAAGCCUGAUCCAGCAAUGCCGCGUGUGUGAAGAAGGUCUUCGGAUUGUAAAGCACUUUAGGUGGGAAGGAAGAGCAGUAAGUUAAUACCUCGCUUUUUUGACGGUACCAACAGAAUAAGCACCGGCUAACUACGUG
This 484-nucleotide ribosomal RNA is filed under the name uncultured bacterium. RNAcentral describes it as "partial 16S ribosomal RNA". It matches the Rfam family "Bacterial small subunit ribosomal RNA", at positions 30 to 507 of the family's 1533-position model. The record is from RNAcentral.